CAUAGUAGAUGUACUGGAAGUGUAUCUAGAAUGA
RNAcentral lists this ribosomal RNA (34 nucleotides) under Drosophila virilis. Its description in RNAcentral is "partial 12S ribosomal RNA". Lineage: Eukaryota; Metazoa; Arthropoda; Insecta; Diptera; Drosophilidae. The record is from RNAcentral.